Molecule: long non-coding RNA, 7962 nt
Organism: Hypanus sabinus (Atlantic stingray)
Lineage: Eukaryota; Metazoa; Chordata; Chondrichthyes; Myliobatiformes; Dasyatidae
Exons: 3
Source: RefSeq, a predicted model, not a curated record
AUUUAAACUGUACUGUAGUCUUCUUUCCCGGAAUGAGGCCUAAGGUGCUGCCUGACCUGCUGAGUUCCUCCAAAAUUUUGUGUGUGUUGCUUUGGAUUUCCAGCAGCUGUGGAUUUUCUCAUUUGCGUAAUUACUGGUCCUUUUCAGCUGAUGGCGCAGGCCUCAAGCUCCAAAGCAACACAGGCCUCAAGCUCCAUGGCAACAGGCCUCAAGCUCCAAAGCAACACAGGCCUCAAGCUCCAUGGCAACAGGCCUCAAGCUUGCCGCCAACAGAUGUUUGCAUGCUGCAGUAGAAGUGUAGACAAAUGGAAUGGUGCUAUUAAGAUUCUACUGCUAAUAUGAUGCUGGAAUUGUCUGUCGGUUUCAGGCCUGCGAUGAGGUUUGGUCUCCACUCGUGACAUGCUGCCUGGCGGUGUAGUGGCAUCCACACCAGACUUCGAGGCAAGUGGUCCCAGGUUUGAAUUCAACUGUCUCCUUGCACGCUUUCUAUUUGUGCAAGGUUGACCAUCGAGCUAGCAACUCAGCCUCGUUAAAAAAAAGACAAAUGUUAAAGAAACGGUAAGGUUGCUGCCCAAUGCACCGCGAGGCACGUAGAGGAAUAACAACACUCAUGACAUGGUACGCUGAUGUGGAAGGUCAGACUAUAUGGGAUCCACAAUGAAUUAGCCAAUUGGAUACAAAAUUAACUUGGUGGAAUGAUAUAGAGGGUGGUAUUAUAAACUGUUGUUUUUCAGAUUGAAGGCCUGUGAGGAGGGAGGGGUGUGCUACAGGGAUCAGUGCUGGGUUUACUGUUGUUUGUAAUAUAUAUUAAUGAUUUGGAUGAAAAUUUAUGACAUGAUUAGUAAGUGUAAAGAUGACACCAAGUUGGUGGUGUGGGGUUGAAGAGAGUUAUUGAAGAUUCUACAUGACGUAGAUUAACUGGGAAAGUAGACAAAGGAAUGACAGGUGUCAUUUAACUGGGACCCAAGUGGUGAAAAAGGCAUUUAGCAUGCUUGUCUCCCUUGAUCAGGGCAUUAAGUACAGAGUCAGUGCAUAAUGUUGCAGCUGCACAUGGUGUUGGUAAGACCAUACUUGGGAUAUUGUCUGCAGUUCUGUUGUCAAGCUACAAAAGGAAGUUAUUAAGCUGGAAAAAAAUUACUGAGACUGGAGGGCUUGACCUAUAAACAGAAACUGGAUGGGCUGGAGAAUUAUUUCUCUGAAGCAUUGAAUGCUUUAGGUGACCAUGUAGAAGUAUAAAACCAAGAUAAGGGGAAUGGUAACAACUUAAUCUGGAAGGUAUCAUUUUAGUGAGAAGGGAAAGAUUUAAAAGGGAACAUGAGGAGUACAUUUGUGGAUAUAUGUAAUGAGCUGCCAGAGGAACUGGUAGAGGUGGGUAUAAUUACUAUGUUUUAACAGCAUUGGACGGGUACAUGGAGAGGAACAGCGGAGAGAGAUACAGACCAAACACAGGCAAAUAAGAUUUGCUUGUGCAUGGCCAAGUUGGGCCAAAGGACCUGUUUCCAUGCUGUUGAAUUCUUAAAACAGCCAUAGAAAGAGUGGCAACAAGAUAAAAGGUGCCAUUUGUUCAGCAAGACCAGACAUGGUCAGCUCUGUUAUGCUCACAGAAAGGGCUAGCCCUUCUACUUGAUUACCUCAUCAGCAUUUUCAGUCAUCUUCUUUGGUGUGUUAUUUUACGUUUACUGUGUGUCCAGAGAGCCCAAGACUUUUGCACAGUACUGUAUGUGUCAACAUGGAGCGAAGAGCGAGUAUGUAAAAUAAUUGGUGAGAGAAAAGGAUGUUGGGAAUGGGAGAGGUGUGGGACAGCAGGCAGAGGAGUGCCAGGGUUGGGGGUGCAGACACAACUAGGCAAGGUCAGCUGAUUCCAAACAAUUGGUUUAUUGAUCAUUACAGAAUGCCUUUCUGGAACUUCCUGCUCCCUCCCCUCUCCCUUUCCACAACCAUGAUUUCCCUCUCCCAACCUCCUUCCCACACCCAGUUCACUAUAGAGACUCAUAUCAGAAUCAGGUUUAUCACCACUCACAUAUGACGUGAAAUGUGUUUUUCUUUGCAGCAGGAGUACGGUGCAAUAUAUAGUAUCAGUACAGUACUGUGCAAAAGUCUUAGGCACCCUAGCUAUAUGUAUGAGUUGCCAAGACUUUUGCACAGUACUGUAUAUGGUUCCAACAGUUGCCACUAUUAAACUGAGUUAGCCAAGCUAAUCAAUAGCUCUGCAUAUUUACUCUCGAUUGCCCUAACGUUGAACUAAGUUUCCUACAAGACAUUUUGACAAGCUGAAGAAUUGUAUCUUCUAAUUGCCUUAUGACAAUUUAGAAAUCAGUUCUCGUGUAGCACAACUUCUUUACUGAGAAUCAGUUCCCUCAGCUCAAUUUGUUUAUCCCUCUGUACUAGUGAAGUUAUUUGAAACCCAUGUAUAAUCGACGUGGUUCUGUCUUCCAGGGAUUUUUAUUAUACAGACAUUGGGAAGACAUUUCAGUGUAAACUGUCUUCUCACACCUUCUCCUCAAAGCCCUAGUUUAAGCCAUCAUUUGGGAAGCUAUGCAAAUGAGCGACCACAUUAAUGUUAUUGAAGUGAAAAUGCUUAUCAAACCAUCACUCUCCUGUAAAAUCAUAUCAAUGCUCAUACAGGUAAAUGUACUGGUUACCUUCUGUACCCAUAAGCAGUACAACUGAACAAUUGAUUCACCAGUUGCUUGGAAUUACAAUGCAGUUGCUUGAUUAUUGCCUUGUUGGAGAAGCCACAAACAGAAGGCCAGUCUGCCCACUCCUGACAGGUUUGGGUACUGCACGCUGUCUCCAAGCCACUUUCACAUCAAGCUUUUUCCCUAUGUGGAACAGCCUGAGAAUUGAAAAUUCUGGGCCACUUUGCUUUUCUAACGAUGCUGUCAGGAAAUGUAGAGGAGGCUUGAUCAAAAGCAGAGCAGAGGAGAUGAUCAAGUUCAAGUUUAUUGUCAUCUGACUGUCCAUUUAUACAACUAAAUGAAACAAUGUUCCUCUGGACCGCGGUGCUCCCACACAACAUAUGUCACAUUCAGCACAUAAGCUAAAAAUAUUAUACCAUAAAUAAGUUAAUAAAACAUAAUUCAAAAUGUGUGUAGUAAAGCACAGCACAGGUAAACAGUAAUCAGGAUAAAGUACAUUAAGCAGCUCGCUGUCCUAGUGAUGAGACCUCAGUAGUGGCAGAGUAUUCAAUAGUCUCAGAGCCUGAGGGAAGAAACUAUUAUCCGCUCUGGCAGUCCUAGUCCUGAUGCUCCUGUACCUCCUUCCAGAUAGUAGUGGGUCAAGGAAACCAUGGAUUGAGCAUUUUGGAUCCUAAACAAUGCUUUGGGCCAUUCGUUUGCAACACGCCUAGAAAAUGUCACAAAUAGGAGGGAGGGAGACCCCAAUGGUCCUUGGUAACUUUUACUGUCCUCUCUAGGGUCUUGAGGUCUGAAACCUUGCAACUUCUGUACUAUGCAGUAAUGUAACCAGACAGGACACGCUCGAUGGUGCUCCUGUAGCAAGUUAUUAGAAUGGGGCAGGGAGUCUUGCACACCUCAUUCUCCUCAGAAGGUGUCCUGUGCCUUCUUGACUAGUGAGGAGGUAUUGUGGGUCCAGGUUAGACCAUCCAUUACAUGCACACCAGGGAACUUUGUGCUCUUUACUUGCUCCACGUUGGAGCCAUUGAUAUACAAUGGAGAGUGGUCAACCGGUGCUUAUGUGAAAUUCACAAUCAUCUCUUUUGUCUUGUCCACAUUGAGGCUCAGGUUGUUGUUCUCACACCAAUUGACAAGCCUCUCUGUCUCCUCUCUGUUGCUGAUGAGGUUGAUCACUGUAGUAUCAGUGAACUUGAUGAUGUGGUUUGAGCUCAGCCUGGCAGUGCACUUAUGAGUCAGCAGCAGACUGAGCUCUCAGACAUGGAGGACACUAGUGCUCAGUAUGAUGAAGCUUGAGAUGGUGCUGAUAACUCGGACUGACUGGGAUCGUUCCAUUAAGAACUUCAAGAUGCACUUACAGAGAGGGUUGUUGAGUCCCAAUGAAGGUAAUUAGCAGUGAGCAAUAACUUUAAUAAUAAACUACAAAUUAAGAGAGAACAGAUGCUAAAUUUGACAUACAUCAGGAUAACUGAAGGCUAGGGGCAACUGGUUGAGGCUGGCUGAUGCGAUGAGUGACAAAGAUUAUGGAUGAGAGCAGGGUUUAAAUAGGCUGCCGGUGAUGGGUUGGAAAUGAGUGGCAUUCCUGUUAGCUGGGUGGAGUCUGGGAAAUGUCUGCAUGUGCACGGCUGGCACAUGCUUCCUUUAAGCAGUUUCUGAUGUGAAUGGUGAGAAGGGUAAAUUUACUCUCCUAUUGUGUGUUGCUACACACAGCUGGCUUGUGGCUCAGAGAGUAAUUGCUUAAUCAUAAGAUUGUAGCAUUCUGAAAACUUGAAUACAGAUAACACUUAGGUCAGAAUUUCAGAGCGAUGUUGUGUGAUUGCUGCCUUAUUGGAUGGGACAUAAGCUAAAGUAUUAUUUGUCCAGUAAGUGGAUGAAUAAGAUGUUUUGAAUAUAUGGUUAGUUUUCCUUGGGAUUUGUCCAUUAUUUUUCCCUCAACUGUCUUCAUUAUUUCAUUGCUGUCUGUGAAUCAUUGCUGUGUGCAAUCUACUGUCUGGGUUCAUACAUGAAGCAGUGCUUUACCUCAGAAGUACUUCACUGAGUCGGUGUUCUGAAAUUAUGACAAAGGUACUUCGACCAUUUGUGAUUUUGUAAUUAGUUUGCACAAUUUUUUUUUUAAAAGUAUGCAGAAACGAAGGUUGGCAGCUAAUCUGCAUCUCUGUUCCUUCAGUUUAUUGACCUUGUACAUCUUCUGACUGUGUUGGUCAUUGAUGCAAAUGACACAUUUUGCUGUAUGUUUCAAUGUUUUGAUGUUCAUGUGCCAAAUAAACCUAAUCUUUAAAAAAAUCUUUCCUAAAAGCAAAUCGCUAAUCUUACUGCCAUCUUAUUUUUAGGCACCAACCCAUACAAGUGUCCGGACUGUUCUGUGGCUUUUGUUAUAAGUGGAGAGGCAGUGUGGCAUAGAUAUCACAAACACACUCAUGAGAAGCCGUUCCGAUGUUCAGUCUGUGAUCAUGCUGGUGUGGCAGUAUGAGUGGUACAAAGUUAAGUGGGCUUCACAUUCCGGCAGAUUUUCCAGUUCAAAUCACAAGCAUGUAAAAAAAAACAGGAAAUGAAAAAGAAUACUUUUCAGAUAUAGGAUCCUUUUAUUUGCUCAGUUUCAGUGGGUUUCUUGGAAAGGAGAGAGCCUGUUUACCCUUAAAGUAGGCGCAACUGUGUGACAGUCUUGCAAAGAAGGUAAGGUUGUCAUUAAUAGAUACUUCCUUCAUUUACCUGCAAGUAUAUUGGACCAUCAGAUUGAGCCUAAUAGUUAACGGGUUCAAUUCUCUUAGGCCAAAUGCUCAGCCAUUCUCACUUCAGAAAAUCCAAGUAAAAGCUGAUUGUCAGAAGAAACAAAAUGGUUUCUUCUCCAUUAUUACCAGGGUGAGGUCAGGGCUAGAAGUCUUCUGGUCUGAGCAUUUGGAUUGUAGCCAAAAAAUCUCAUGGGUGAUGCACAUCUCUUUUUCUACACAGGUUUAUCAAAGUAAUGCUCAUAACCUUCUGCUUGAGUAGAAAGCAUCAUUGGCCUUCUUAAUACUGCAAAGAGCAGAAAGUUGGGAUAUAAGACAAUGAUCACUUUGACUGAUGUGAAAUGUAGUAAGUUCAAGAUUAUCAGCAUCUUAACCUCCCUACCUGUGCCUCUCAUAAUUUCUAUAUUUCUGUCAGUUUGCCCAUCAGCCUCUGGUGCUCUGGUGAAUACAGUCUAUAUUUGUCCCAGCUCUCUGUGUAACUAAUGCAUUCUAAUCCAGGCAACAUCUUGGUAAACCUUUUCUGCAUCCUCUCCAAAGCCUCCAGAUCUGUGCCAAGUAGAACAGCACACAAUAUUCCAAACGUGGCCAGCUCAAGUUUUUUGCAGCUGCCACACAACCUGUCAACUUUUAACCUAUUGCCCUGACUGAAGGUAAUUUGGGAAACCGGUUUAUUAUUAGCACAUAUACUGAGGUACAAUGAACAACUUAAUCUUACUGUUUAUUUUCCUUUUGCAUUUGUCCUUCCAAAUGUGACACAUCACACUUGUCCAGAUAAAUUCCAUUGGCCAUUUCUCUAUUCAGAUUUCCAAGUGAUCUAUAUUCUCCUAUGUCAUUGACAAUCUUCCACAAUUCCACCGAUUUUCAUGUUGUUUGCAGUUAUUAAUUAGACAACUCACAUUUCAUCCAAAUCACUUUUACCCAAUUAUGUAUCUAUACCAGAAACAAAGGAGCUCCCAGCACUGCUCUUUUGGGGUACUUUCAAUUUGAUUUAUGAUUGGAUUUUGGGUAAAUUCUGUAAAAGACUAGCUAUCAUUAAGACACUUCAAGCCUAAGAUAUAAUGUAGUAUUAAGAACAUAAUCCUCAUUAACAGUGUCUAGGAAUGGUCCAGGUUAGAAUGAAAUAUAUAAACUUUACAAUAUAUGUAUUAUUAUUGGAGACAAAAUCAUGUUCAGAUCUGACUCCUGGUGGUAGGAUUCCAUCACUCCAUGGGACCAUCAUGAUUAAUUCCUCUAGAAAAUGUAGAAGGUUGAGGGGGGACUUGAUAGAGGUAUUUAAAAUGAUGAGGGGGAUAGAUAGAGUUGACGUAGAUAGGCUUUUUCCAUUGAGAGUAGGGGAGAUUCAAACAAGAGGACAUGAGUUGAGACUUGGGGGCAAAAGUUUAAAGGUAACAUGAGGAGGAAUUUCUUUACUCAGAGAGUGGUAGGUGUGUGGAACGAGCUUCCAGUAGAAGUGGUAGAGGCAGCUUCGAUAUUGUCAUUUAAAGCAAAAUUGGAUAGGUAUAUGGACAGGAAAGGAAUGGAGGGUUAUGGGCUGAGACCGGUGGGACUAAGUGAGAGUAAGCAUUCGGCACGGACUAAAAGGGUCGAGAUGGCCUGUUUCUGUGCUGUAAUUGUUAUAUGGUUAUAUAUAAAAUUAAUUAAUUAAUUUCUCUUUCUCACAUUUAAGAAUCUAUUUUUGGAAAAAAAAAUCCAAGAAUUUGAUCAACACACACAAAAUGCUGGUGGAACACAGCAGACCAGGCAGCAUCUAUAAGGAGAAGCACUGUCGACGUUUCGGGCCGAGACCCUUCAUCAGGACAUGUUUGAAUUUCCAGCAUCUGCAGAUUUCCUCGUGUUUGCUCCAAGAAUUUGAUGAUUAUUUUUAAAGAUUUACAAUGAUCAUGUAGUAAAGAUAAGAAUGACAAAUGAAGAAAGUUUGGGGUAACAACAUUAAAAUAGAGGGAAAUGAAGCUUAUUAUAAGAUUACACCUUUUCCUUUCUAGGGGAAUAUUCUAGGCUUUCCCUUUUAAACAGAAUAAAUGAACUAGAAAAGAAGUAAGACAAACUAAUCCAUGAAAAUUUCUGUGGGAAAACGAGAAUAUAAAACUGCUGAUUUUCUGAACAGCUAUUUGUUAGCUGAAUCUCACCAGUCAUUGGGAUGUGGAGCACAGAAACAAACCCUUCAGCACAUCAUGUCCAUGCUGACCUUUGUGUUUGUCUACAUUAACUCCCCUUGCUCAUAUUACAACUGUGUCUUUGGAUGCAUCACCACGUAGCUGACUCAUCUGGCAACUAAAUAGCAAAGUACGGAAUCUUUCAAAUUUUAAUCUUCUAGAACAGCUGAAAUCUUGUGAGCCUUAUAAGUACAGUGGACUCUGGUUAACUGGGGCAGACACUUAUUUGGAACAACUCUUCAAAGAUUUAUUAUCAAAGCAAUUAACCAUAUACAACUCUGAAAUUUGUCUUCUCCAGAUAGCCACGAAACAAAGAAAGAACUUGAAAGUUGUUCAGAGAGAAACAUCAAACCAACCCCCCCCACCGCACAUAAAAGAAUGGCAUCCCGACCAUCAACCUCCCCCCACCCACACAAAUCGGAACAGGAACAUCGACCCCCAAAAAACAAA